RNAcentral lists this ribosomal RNA (255 nucleotides) under uncultured bacterium. RNAcentral's name for it is "partial 16S ribosomal RNA". It matches the Rfam family "Bacterial small subunit ribosomal RNA", at positions 524 to 776 of the family's 1533-position model. The record is from RNAcentral.
UACGGGGGGGGCAAGCAUUUUUCAGUAUGAUUAGGCGUAAAGGGUUUUUAGACGGGUUCUUGUAGUUUUUAUAUAAAAAUUAGAGCUUAACUCUAAGAAAUUUAAAAAAACGGUUUACCUUGAGUAUUUAUGGAAAAUAAUGGAAUUUUUAUUGGAGAGAUAAAAUAUGUUGAUAAUAAAAGGAACAACAAUAGCGAAGGCGAUUAUUUAUGUAUGUACUGACGUUGAUGAACGAAAGCUUAGGUAGCAAAUGGG